AAUCGAACCCGGAGAUAGCUGGUUCUCCUCGAAAUAGCUUUAGGGCUAGCCUCAUGGAUCAUUGAUGGGGGUAGAGCACUGAAUGUGCGCGGGGGCCACAAAGCCUACCAAACGCUAUCAAACUUCGAAUACCAUACAAUGCAGACCAUGGGAGUCAGUCCGCGAGAGAUAAGUUCCGCGGGCAAAAGGGGAACACCCCAGAUCAACCGCUAAGGUCCCCAAGUUCACGUUAAGUGGAGAAGGAUGUGGAAUUGCACAGACAACCAGGAUGUUGGCUCAGAAGCAGCCACACAUUUAAAGAGUGCGUAAUAGCUCACUGGUCGAGUGAUUGUGCGCCGAAGAUGUCCGGGGCUAAACGUGACACCGAAGCGAUGGGUGCAUCUGAAAGGAUGCGCGGUAGAGGAGCAAUGUGCAGAGGCAGAAGCCGUAUCGAGAGGCACGGUGGACACUGCACAAGAGAGAAUGCCGGUAUGAGUAGCGAGAGGCAUGCGAGAAACAUGCCCGUCGAAAGCCCAAGGUUUCCUGGGGAAGGUUCAUCCGCCCAGGGUAAGUCGGGGCCUAAGCCGAGGACGGAAGUCGUAGGCGAUGGACAGCAGGUGUAGAUUCCUGCACUACCGAUGGAAUGAAGCAGUGACACAGAAGGAUAACUCGAGCAGGGUGAUGGUCAACCCUGUGCAAGCAUCAAGGUUGGGUUGUAGUGAAGUACGCAACCCUAUAAGCUGAGGUGUGAUGCGGACCGAAAUUUCAGUAGGGAAGCGAGUGAGUUCACGCUGGCGAGAAAAGCUGCUAGUAUAUCCAAAGGUACCCGUACCGGAAACCGACGCAGGUGGGCGAGGAGAGAAUCCUGAGACGAACGGGAGAACCCUUGUUAAGGAACUCGGCAAAAUGACCCCGUAACUUCGGGAUAAGGGGUGCCUGCGAGAGCAGGCCGCAGAGAAUAGUCACAAGCGACUGUUUAGCAAAAACACAGGUAUCUGCGAAAGCGAGAGCUGACGUAUAGGUGCUGACACCUGCCCGGUGCUGGAAGGUUAAGGGAACAUGUUAGAGCAAUCGAAGCAUCGAACCGAAGCCCCAGUAAACGGCGGCCGUAACUAUAACGGUCCUAAGGUAGCGAAAUUCCUUGUCGGGUAAGUUCCGACCCGCACGAAUGGUGUAACGACUUGUGAGCUGUCUCAACAGGGGGCCCGGUGAAAUUGAAGUAUGGGUGAAGAUGCCCAUUACCCGCGACUGGACGGAAAGACCCCGUAGAGCUUUACUGCAGCCUGAUAUUGAGUUUCGGUAACUGAUGCACAGGAUAGGUGGGAGUCUGAGAGACACGGGUUUCGGCUCGUGUGGAGACGAUGUUGGGAUACCACUCUUCGGUUACUGAAAUUCUAACAUAGCUCUGUGAAACCAGAGGAUGGACAGUGUCAGGUGGACAGUUUGACUGGGGCGGUCGCCUCCGAAAGAGUAACGGAGGCGCCCAAAGGUACCCUCAGAAUGGAUGGAAACCAUUCGAAGAGCGCAAAGGCAGAAGGGUGCCUGACUGCGAGAUUGACAAAUCGAGCAGAGACGAAAGUCGGGCUUAGUGAUCCGGCGGUAUUGAGUGGAAAAGCCGUCGCUUAACGGAUAAAAGCUACCUCGGGGAUAACAGGCUGAUCUCCCCCAAGAGUCCACAUCGACGGGGAGGUUUGGCACCUCGAUGUCGGCUCAUCGCAUCCUGGGGCUGUAUUCGGUCCCAAGGGUUUGGCUGUUCGCCAAUUAAAGCGGCACGCGAGCUGGGUUCAGAACGUCGUGAGACAGUUCGGUCCCUAUCCAUCGUGGGCGUAGGAGUCAUGAGAGGAGCUGUUCCUAGUACGAGAGGACCGGAAUGGACGCACCACUGGUGCAACUGUUGUCGUGCCAACGGCAUAGCAGGGAAGCGAAGUGCGGAUGGGAUAAACGCUGAAGGCAUCUAAGCGUGAAGCCCACCUCAAGAAUAAGACUCCACAAUAGACCCCUGGAGGACUACCAGGUAGAUAGGUCAUCGGUGGAAGCGCUGUAAGGCGUGU
This 2030-nucleotide ribosomal RNA is filed under the name human gut metagenome. RNAcentral describes it as "bacterial LSU rRNA". It matches the Rfam family "Bacterial large subunit ribosomal RNA", at positions 831 to 2888 of the family's 2925-position model. The record is from RNAcentral.